GCGGAUAUAGUUUAAUGGUAGAACGUCGGCUUGCCAAGUCGGCGGUCCGGGUUCGAUUCCCGGUAUCCGCA
Molecule: transfer RNA, 71 nt
Filed under: Parcubacteria group bacterium
Lineage: Bacteria
Description: tRNA-Gly
Rfam family: tRNA
About the family: Transfer RNA (tRNA) molecules are approximately 80 nucleotides in length. Their secondary structure includes four short double-helical elements and three loops (D, anti-codon, and T loops).
Source: RNAcentral